UGCAAGUCGAGCGGACCGACGGGAGCUUGCUCCCUUAGGUCAGCGGCGGACGGGUGAGUAACACGUGGGUAACCUGCCUGUAAGACUGGGAUAACUCCGGGAAACCGGGGCUAAUACCGGAUGCUUGAUUGAACCGCAUGGUUCAAUCAUAAAAGGUGGCUUUUAGCUACCACUUGCAGAUGGACCCGCGGCGCAUUAGCUAGUUGGUGAGGUAACGGCUCACCAAGGCGACGAUGCGUAGCCGACCUGAGAGGGUGAUCGGCCACACUGGGACUGAGACACGGCCCAGACUCCUACGGGAGGCAGCAGUAGGGAAUCUUCCGCAAUGGACGAAAGUCUGACGGAGCAACGCCGCGUGAGUGAUGAAGGUUUUCGGAUCGUAAAACUCUGUUGUUAGGGAAGAACAAGUACCGUUCGAAUAGGGCGGCACCUUGACGGUACCUAACCAGAAAGCCACGGCUAACUACGUGCCAGCAGCCGCGGUAAUACGUAGGUGGCAAGCGUUGUCCGGAAUUAUUGGGCGUAAAGCGCGCGCAGGCGGUUUCUUAAGUCUGAUGUGAAAGCCCCCGGCUCAACCGGGGAGGGUCAUUGGAAACUGGGGAACUUGAGUGCAGAAGAGGAGAGUGGAAUUCCACGUGUAGCGGUGAAAUGCGUAGAGAUGUGGAGGAACACCAGUGGCGAAGGCGACUCUCUGGUCUGUAACUGACGCUGAGGCGCGAAAGCGUGGGGAGCGAACAGGAUUAGAUACCCUGGUAGUCCACGCCGUAAACGAUGAGUGCUAA
RNAcentral lists this ribosomal RNA (782 nucleotides) under Bacillus sp. LWEN07. RNAcentral describes it as "bacterial SSU rRNA". It matches the Rfam family "Bacterial small subunit ribosomal RNA", at positions 56 to 819 of the family's 1533-position model. Lineage: Bacteria; Bacillati; Bacillota; Bacilli; Caryophanales; Bacillaceae. The record is from RNAcentral.